AUAGUUCGAUCCUGGCUCAGAGCGAACGUUGGCGGCGUGCUUAACACAUGCAAGUCUUGGGAGAAAGUUUCUUCGGAAACGAGUAAACCGGCGCACGGGUGCGUAACACGUGGGUAAUCAACCCUUUAGUCUGGAAUAACUCGCCGAAAGGCGUGCUAAUGCCGGAUAGUUAGAUACUUCCUGAGGGUGGUAUCUAUAAAGACGGUUUCGGCUGUCGCUAGAGGACGAGCCCGCGGCCCAUUAGCUAGUAGGUGGGGUAAUGGCCUACCUAGGCUACGAUGGGUAGCUGGUCUGAGAGGAUGAUCAGUCACACUGGCACUGAAACACGGGCCAGACUCCUACGGGAGGCAGCAGUGAGGAAUUUUGCGCAAUGGGCGAAAGCCUGACGCAGCGACGCCGCGUGAGGGACGAAGGCCUUUGGGUCGUAAACCUCUGUCAGUAGGGAAGAAAAGCAGAUCAGUAACUGGGUCUGUCCUGACGGUACCUACAAAGGAAGCACCGGCUAACUCCGUGCCAGCAGCCGCGGUAAUACGGAGGGUGCAAACGUUGCUCGGAUUUACUGGGCGUAAAGGGAGCGCAGGCGGCUUGUUAAGUCUGAUGUGAAAGCCCGAGGCUCAACCUCGGAGCUGCAUUGGAUACUGGCAAGCUUGAGUAUGUUAGAGGAGAGCGUAAUACCUGGUGUAGCGGUGAAAUGCGUUGAGAUCAGGUGGAACACCGGUGGCGAAGGCGGCUCUCUGGGGCAUUACUGACGCUGAGGCUCGAAAGCGUGGGGAUCAAACAGGAUUAGAUACCCUGGUAGUCCACGCCCUAAACGAUGAGUACUAGGUGUCUCAACUUUGACCGUUGGGGUGCCGAAGCUAACGCAUUAAGUACUCCGCCUGGGGACUACGGCCGCAAGGCUAAAACUCAAAGGAAUUGACGGGGACCCGCACAAGUGGUGGAGCAUGUGGUUUAAUUCGAUGAUACGCGAAGAACCUUACCUGGGCUUGACAUCCUGAGAAUCUGAUAGAGAUAUCGGAGUGCCUUCGGGAAUUCAGUGACAGGUGCUGCACGGCUGUCGUCAGCUCGUGUCGUGAGAUGGGUUAAGUCCCGCAACGAGCGCAACCCCUGUCUCUAUUUGCUAACAUUUAGUUGAGAACUAUAGAGAGACUGCCCCGGUCAACGGGGAGGAAGGAGGGGACGACGUCAAGUCAUCAUGGCCCUUAUGCCCAGGGCUACACACGUGCUACAAUGGCGGAUACAAAGGGUAGCCAACCCGCGAGGGGGAGCCAAUCCCAUAAAGUCCGCCCCAGUUCGGAUUGUAGUCUGCAACUCGACUACAUGAAGUUGGAAUCACUAGUAAUCGCGGAUCAGCUACGCCGCGGUGAAUGCGUUCCCGGGUCUUGUACACACCGCCCGUCACACCACGAGAGUCGGCGGCGCUGGAAAACAGUGGUCUAACCUUCGGGAGGAAGCUGUUUAAGGCGAAUCCGGUGAUUGGGGUGAAGUCGUAACAAGGUA
RNAcentral lists this ribosomal RNA (1500 nucleotides) under metagenome. RNAcentral describes it as "bacterial SSU rRNA". It matches the Rfam family "Bacterial small subunit ribosomal RNA". The record is from RNAcentral.